Molecule: long non-coding RNA, 344 nt
Organism: Tupaia belangeri chinensis (Chinese tree shrew)
Lineage: Eukaryota; Metazoa; Chordata; Mammalia; Scandentia; Tupaiidae
Exons: 3
Source: RefSeq, a predicted model, not a curated record
CCAGUGCUCCUUUGCUUUGAUGAAGCAAGGUCUUUCGUGCCCCAAGUAAAGAUGGCGCUACACGACUAUCUCACUUCUUUCGGCUCGAGACUCGUGCGCAAGGGACCACAGACUUCGGUUUCUCCUCCCUCUGACCCUUUUUCCUUCCUAGAAAACGGAGGGUUUGGCCUAAGUGGCUAGAAUUCAACGGUCUAGGGUAGAAGAGAAUUUAUCCAAAGAUUAAAACUUGAAGCAACCCUAAAUGUGCACGAUGGCUGUGUCAACACGAUCUGUUGGAAUGACACAGGGGAGUACAUCUUAUCCGGCUCGGAUGACACCAAGUUAGUGAUUAGUGACCCAAACAG